RNAcentral lists this long non-coding RNA (625 nucleotides) under Prunus dulcis (almond). RNAcentral's name for it is "sRNA ncRNA". The record is from RNAcentral. Lineage: Eukaryota; Viridiplantae; Streptophyta; Magnoliopsida; Rosales; Rosaceae.
CCAGCGCGGUUGAUUCUUGCAGGAUGAAGGACUUGAAUGAGAGUUGGAACUUGAAAUAUCCAAAUGAAAAAUACUGAAAUUUUGAUUAUAAACAAGAUGUGACUUCUUCCCAGCAGAUAAAUAUCAAUUUCAUCUUCCUUAAUUCAUAAUUCAUAGUAAAGAGAAUAAAUUCCCCUAAGAAACCCUAGAAACGCCAAUAGAGAACAAAUUCCCCAAUCUAUCAGCACAAUUGAAGUCGCUGCUGCUUUUAGGCCAGGGAAAAGUGCUUGAAGCCGAGUUGUGGGGUCUGUUUUUUUGGGUAGAAUUUGGUUGUUGAGAAAAAAGUAGAUGAUAUUGUUAUUGAGAUGGAUUCAGAGACUUCUGUGCUUAUUCAGAGUAAGAUUUGGAAUGCUUGUCAUCCUGAUGCUGGGCUGGUCAGUAGCUGUAAAAGGUUUAUGAAUUUGUUUCGAAGAAUCAAGCUUCAACAUAUUUACAGAAAGAGGAAUGAUGUAGCUGAUGAGUUGGCUACUUUGGAGUCACAAUUUGAAUCCGGGUUGUUGCUACUUGCUAUCUUGAGAAGAGUCCUGCCUGACUUUGGAUAUCUGUUGCUCAAUGAUUUACUGGGAGUUGUAAAGGCUCGUCUGAU